AUUGAACGCUGGCGGAAUGCUUUACACAUGCAAGUCGAGCGGCAGCGCGGGGCAACCUGGCGGCGAGCGGCGAACGGGUGAGUAAUGUAUCGGAACGUGUCCUGUCGUGGGGGAUAGCCCGGUGAAAACCGGAUUAAUACCGCAUACGAUCGAGAGAUGAAAGUGGGGGACCGCAAGGCCUCACGCGAUAGGAGCGGCCGAUAUCUGAUUAGCUAGUUGGUGGGGUAAAGGCCCACCAAGGCUUCGAUCAGUAGCUGGUCUGAGAGGAUGAUCAGCCACACUGGGACUGAGACACGGCCCAGACUCCUACGGGAGGCAGCAGUGGGGAAUUUUGGACAAUGGGGGCAACCCUGAUCCAGCCAUUCCGCGUGAGUGAAGAAGGCC
RNAcentral lists this ribosomal RNA (384 nucleotides) under uncultured bacterium. RNAcentral describes it as "bacterial SSU rRNA". It matches the Rfam family "Bacterial small subunit ribosomal RNA", at positions 29 to 416 of the family's 1533-position model. The record is from RNAcentral.